Long non-coding RNA from Thalassophryne amazonica, 213 nucleotides. RefSeq lists it as uncharacterized. The transcript is spliced from 3 exons. NCBI's taxonomy places the organism in Eukaryota, Metazoa, Chordata, Actinopteri, Batrachoidiformes, Batrachoididae. The record is from RefSeq and is a predicted model, not a curated record.
AGGCACGGCUAGGAAACAUACACCUGUUUAUCAACCAAAUGUCACAGACAAAGUGACAAGAAUAACAAAAACCACUGACUUAAGGAAGGAAAUAUCAUCUCUCUUGUUCCUGCGUUUGUGGCUUUGCCAACAUGCGCAGCUUUCCGGCAUGUUCCACCUGUUUCUUGACAAGACUAACAGAACUUCAAUGAACACACCUCCUUGUUGCCACAG